Danio rerio (zebrafish) is the source of this 58-nucleotide non-coding RNA. The record is from Rfam. NCBI's taxonomy places the organism in Eukaryota, Metazoa, Chordata, Actinopteri, Cypriniformes, Danionidae.
UAGCUCAGUCGAUAGAGCAUGAGACUCAUAAUCUCAGCGUCGUGGGUUAGAGCGCCAC